AUCCCUGGCAGCUUGCUGCCGGGGUGAGAGUGGCGAACGGGUGAGUAAUGCGUGACCGACCUGCCCCAUGCACCGGAAUAGCUCCUGGAAACGGGUGGUAAUGCCGGAUGUUCCACAUGAGCGCAUGCGAGUGUGGGAAAGGCUUUUGCGGCAUGGGAUGGGGUCGCGUCCUAUCAGCUUGUUGGUGGGGUAACGGCCUACCAAGGCGUUGACGGGUAGCCGGCCUGAGAGGGCGACCGGCCACAUUGGGACUGAGAUACGGCCCAGACUCCUACGGGAGGCAGCAGUGGGGAAUAUUGCACAAUGGGCGCAAGCCUGAUGCAGCGACGCCGCGUGCGGGAUGGAGGCCUUCGGGUUGUAAACCGCUUUUGUUCAAGGGCAAGGCACGGUUUCGGCCGUGUUGAGUGGAUUGUUCGAAUAAGCACCGGCUAACUACGUGCCAGCAGCCGCGGUAAUACGUAGGGUGCAAGCGUUAUCCGGAUUUAUUGGGCGUAAAGGGCUCGUAGGCGGUUCGUCGCGUCCGGUGUGAAAGUCCAUCGCUUAACGGUGGAUCCGCGCCGGGUACGGGCGGGCUUGAGUGCGGUAGGGGAGACUGGAAUUCCCGGUGUAACGGUGGAAUGUGUA
This 624-nucleotide ribosomal RNA is filed under the name Bifidobacterium pseudolongum subsp. pseudolongum. RNAcentral's name for it is "bacterial SSU rRNA". It matches the Rfam family "Bacterial small subunit ribosomal RNA", at positions 68 to 692 of the family's 1533-position model. The record is from RNAcentral. Lineage: Bacteria; Bacillati; Actinomycetota; Actinomycetes; Bifidobacteriales; Bifidobacteriaceae.